GACGAACGCUGGCGGCGUGCUUAACACAUGCAAGUCGAACGGAAAGGCCCUGCUUUUGUGGGGUGCUCGAGUGGCGAACGGGUGAGUAACACGUGAGUAACCUGCCCUUGACUUUGGGAUAACUUCAGGAAACUGGGGCUAAUACCGGAUAGGAGCUCCUGCUGCAUGGUGGGGGUUGGAAAGUUUCGGCGGUGGGGGAUGGACUCGCGGCUUAUCAGCUUGUUGGUGGGGUAGUGGCUUACCAAGGCUUUGACGGGUAGCCGGCCUGAGAGGGUGACCGGCCACAUUGCGACUGAGAUACGGCCCAGACUCCUACGGGAGGCAACAGUGGGGAAUAUUGCACAAUGGGCGGAAGCCUGAUGCAGCAACGCCGCGUGCGGGAUGACGGCCUUCGGGUUGUAAACCGCUUUCGCCUGUGACGAAGCGUGAGUGACGGUAAUGGGUAAAGAAGCACCGGCUAACUACGUG
This 468-nucleotide ribosomal RNA is filed under the name uncultured bacterium. RNAcentral's name for it is "partial 16S ribosomal RNA". It matches the Rfam family "Bacterial small subunit ribosomal RNA", at positions 28 to 507 of the family's 1533-position model. The record is from RNAcentral.